CAGCCGCCGCGGUAAUACCGGCGGCCCGAGUGGCGGUCACUCUUAUUGGGCUUAAAGCGUCCGUAGCCGGGUUGGGAAGGCCUCCGGGAAAUCUGGCCGCUUAACGGUCAGAAUGCCGGAGGAUACUCCCAGCCUAGGGAGCGGGAGAGGCCGAGGGGAUUCCCGGGGUAGGGGUGGAAUCCUAUAAUCCCGGGAGGACCACCUGUGGCGAAGGCGCUCGGCUGGAACGCGUCCGACGGUGAGGGACGAAGGCCAGGGGAGCAAACCGGAUUAGAUACCCGGGUAGUCCUGGCUGUAAACGAUGCGGACUUUGUGUCGGACAAGCUAUGAGCUUGUCCGGUGCCGGAGGGAAACCGUUAAGUCCGCCGCCUGGGGAGUACGGCCGCAAGGCUGAAACUUAAAGGAAUUGGCGGG
This 414-nucleotide ribosomal RNA is filed under the name uncultured microorganism. RNAcentral's name for it is "bacterial SSU rRNA". It matches the Rfam family "Archaeal small subunit ribosomal RNA", at positions 459 to 872 of the family's 1478-position model. The record is from RNAcentral.